Saccostrea cuccullata (small rock oyster) is the source of this 1213-nucleotide long non-coding RNA. RefSeq lists it as uncharacterized. The transcript has 4 exons. The record is from RefSeq and is a predicted model, not a curated record. Lineage: Eukaryota; Metazoa; Mollusca; Bivalvia; Ostreida; Ostreidae.
AACAAAAAAAGUCAAAAUUAAGAAACUGAAAAUUUGAUAAACAAUUCAUGUUUUAAGAAGGGGUACAUUGGCCACUCUUGUUGCCUAGAGGAGAUGCAUCCAAUUUCAUUAUUGCAUGUUGAGCUAUAGCCGGUGAUUUAUCAGUUUUAAGUGAAUUUGUUUAAGACAGAAACCUAUAAAAUAAGCAUUUCAGACCAAAACGGGGCUUCAAAUGGAUGUACGGCAUGUUGUGACAGUGACAACAUGGAGAGUCCCCUAAGAUUGUGAUGUGUUUUGUUUCUUUUUUUGUGUUCAGUUUGUUAUAUUUGAGUUUUUAUAUAUUUUAGAGGCAUUCAUCAAUGUCAUUACUAAUGACAAACAGGAGAAACGGAGACGGGAGAAUGGAAAGACUGAUCUUCACAGACAGCAGUCAAAACAAAGCAAAAGAAAGCAUUCAAAACUGGAAAUAAGAUCGAAAGCCGUGGAACAUCUAGACGAGUCAUGGACCCCAACAUCUAAAAAGAACUUGACGGAGUGCAUUCGGUUGGACAUAACUUCAUCCGAGAAGACUGAUGACAAAGACUCAACAAAGAGGAUCAGGCUCCUAUUUUCCUGGGAAUCAACCAGACCGUGCAAGGGAAAAGAGGCACUGGACAAGGCAUAUAGACACAAGGUCCUGAUGACCGAAUCUGCCAGACGCCAGUUGGUAUGUGUAAGGGGUGGUAUAGAGGACACAAUAACACCUCCUCCUGAGAAGUGUCUUGCUUGGGCCAUUUCCAGGCACUACUCCUCUUAGAGGUCAAACGUGGUUUCAGCUAUCAAGAGGAUACAAGAAAAAGAACUUUUUAAUUCUGUGGUUGUGUAUUUCCAGAUGUAAAUAUUGAUAGUUGUUUUGGGUUUUUUUAUAAUGUACAUGUAAUCAACAGUUCAGGGUAUAUAGUUUUUGCACUGUUGGUCUGUCUGUAUGCAAAACUGUAAACCAGGCAUAAAGCUUUUGAGUGGAUGGGGCAACUGCUUUCACAUUUCACAGAUGUAUUCCAAGAUUUACAUACAGAUGCAAUGUUGAUGUUUUGACAUAUCUGUAAAAAUUGUUAUGCUUUUUCAUAGAUUUAUUUUUUUUAUAAUACUGGGGUAACUUAAUUGAGUCCCUGAAUGUCAAUAGUCACUAAUUUGGUUUUCAGUAUAAAAUAUUGUUUUUUUUUUUAUUAUAGUAACUAAAAGCAAGCCAUGAUUU